CCCCUAGAUGUUCUGGGCCGCACGCGCGCUACACUGAACAGUUCAACAAGUCUUAACCUUGGCCGAUAGGUCUGGGUAAUCUUUGAACGCUGUUCGUGAUUGGGAUAGACCUUUGCAAUUAUGGGUCUUCAACGAGGAAUUCCUAGUAAACGCAAGUCAUCAGCUUGCAUUGAUUACGUCCCUGCCCUUUGUACACACCGCCCGUCGCACCUACCGAUUGAAUGGUCCGGUGAAAUCUCGGGACGGCGGCUUGGUCGCUUGCGUCCGACUGCUGAAACUUGAUUAAACCAUAUCAUUUAGAGGAAGUAAAANUCGUAACA
Molecule: ribosomal RNA, 320 nt
Filed under: uncultured eukaryote
Lineage: Eukaryota
Description: partial 18S ribosomal RNA
Rfam family: Eukaryotic small subunit ribosomal RNA
Source: RNAcentral